RNAcentral lists this ribosomal RNA (700 nucleotides) under Neolepton sp. C436134. RNAcentral's name for it is "eukaryotic LSU rRNA". The stretch from base 403 to 700 matches the Rfam family "Eukaryotic large subunit ribosomal RNA", at positions 665 to 933 of the family's 3401-position model. Lineage: Eukaryota; Metazoa; Mollusca; Bivalvia; Venerida; Neoleptonidae. The record is from RNAcentral.
GAUCCGCUUAGUCGACCCGGGGAAUUCAGCUCGGCCGUCCGCUGCGCGUCGGGAGCUCGGGACCCCUUCGGGGCCCGCUCUCGGCGUUGCCAGCCGGAUGGCAGAGUGCACUUUCUCCGCCGUCGAAUGCCACGACCGAUUUGGCGGCGGUCACAAGCCCGGCGGCAAGGUAGCCGCGCGCCUCGCGCGCGCGGUGUUAUAGGCCGUCGAGGUGGACACGCUGCCGGAUCGAGGACGUUUGCCGCGUCGCUAGGCCUCGGGCCGUUUCGGAGCUCACGACUACGGACGCACUGCCAGUCAGGGCGCCGUGACCGCGCUUCGUACACGGGUCCGUACGCCGACGACGCCUCGGGUCAAGUGGCGAAUCGGUCGGUCCUCCACCCGACCCGUCUUGAAACACGGACCAAGGAGUCUAACAUGUGCGCGAGUCAUGGGGUCUUACGAAACCCAAAGGCGCAACGAAAGUAAAGGUCUCCUCCGGAGCACCCAGGCGAGAUCCGACGGCCUCGUGUCGACGGCGCAUCGCCGGCCCGUCUCGGCGGCAUUGCCCGCGAGGCGGAGCAAGAGCGCACACGUUGGGACCCGAAAGAUGGUGAACUAUGUCUGAGUAGGGCGAAGUCAGGGGAAACUCUGAUGGAGGCCCGCAGCGAUUCUGACGUGCAAAUCGAUCGUCAAACUUGGAUAUAGGGGCGAAAGACUA